This 909-nucleotide ribosomal RNA is filed under the name uncultured Bacillota bacterium. RNAcentral's name for it is "bacterial SSU rRNA". It matches the Rfam family "Bacterial small subunit ribosomal RNA", at positions 1 to 908 of the family's 1533-position model. Lineage: Bacteria; Bacillati; Bacillota. The record is from RNAcentral.
UGGAUCCAGACUUUGAUUAUGGCUCAGGAUGAACGCUGGCGGCGUGCUUAACACAUGCAAGUCGAACGGGGGUCAUACGCAGACGAGACUUCGGUCGGAUCUUGUGUGAUCCUAGUGGCGGACGGGUGAGUAACGCGUGGGUAACCUGCCAUAUACAGGGGGAUAACACUUAGAAAUAGGUGCUAAUACCGCAUAAGCGCACAGUACCGCAUGGUGCAGUGUGAAAAACUGAGGUGGUAUAUGAUGGACCCGCGUCUGAUUAGCUUGUUCGGGGUAACGGCCCACCAAGGCGACGAUCAGUAGCCGGCCUGAGAGGGUGGACGGCCACAUUGGGACUGAGACACGGCCCAAACUCCUACGGGAGGCAGCAGUGGGGGAUAUUGGACAAUGGGGGGAACCCUGAUCCAGCGACGCCGCGUGAGUGAAGAAGUAUCUCGGUAUGUAAAGCUCUGUCAGCAGGGAAGAAAGAAGACGGUACCUGACCAAGAAGCCCCGGCUAACUACGUGCCAGCAGCCGCGGUAAUACGUAGGGGGCAAGCGUUAUCCGGAAUUACUGGGUGUAAAGGGAGCGCAGACGGUCAUGCAAGUCUGGAGUGAAAGGCGGGGGCCCAACCCCCGGACUGCUCUGGAAACUGUGAGACUGGAGUGCAGGAGAGGCAGGCGGAAUUCCUGGUGUAGCGGUGAGAUGCGUAGAUAUCAGGAGGAACACCGGUGGCGAAGGCGGCCUGCUGGACUGUAACUGACGUUGAGGCUCGAAAGCGUGGGGAGCAAACAGGAUUAGAUACCCUGGUAGUCCACGCCGUAAACGAUGAUCACCAGGUGUCGGUGGGUAUGGACCCAUCGGUGCCGAAGCCAACGCAUUAAGUGAUCCACCUGGGGAGUACGUUCGCAAGAAUGCAACUCAAAUGA